Long non-coding RNA from Triticum aestivum (bread wheat), 413 nucleotides. RefSeq lists it as uncharacterized. The transcript has 3 exons. The record is from RefSeq and is a predicted model, not a curated record. NCBI's taxonomy places the organism in Eukaryota, Viridiplantae, Streptophyta, Magnoliopsida, Poales, Poaceae.
UAGGCGUCAAUUACUCUGGAAAUUCAGCUUCAAUUGGUUGGGAUCAGAUGGAAGGAUGUAAACUAUACUGGAGUUAUACAGUCGUCAAUCUGUAGCUUACCAAGGUCGGUAAUGGAAGGAGCUUGGGGUGUUUCUAAUCACAACAAGGUAACACACACAUUAAUAUUAGAUGGAGUGGUGAUAACAAAUGGGAGAACCACAAAGUGAAGCAAGACUAAGAGGACUAGCAUGUUUGUGUAUCAUUUUUCCUAUUAUCCUUUGAAUUAGAUCGUCUUCCUGCUUUAUUCAUUUAAUAGCUUCAAUCCAUUAUAUCUUGGGCAAGCAAUGUGUUCUGACAUGGUUGUUGCCUUUCAAAGCAUCUUCAUUUUGGAAUCACCAUUCUUACUAUGUUUAUAUACAUUAACAUUUGACCA